RNAcentral lists this transfer RNA (85 nucleotides) under Nicotiana bonariensis. Its description in RNAcentral is "partial transfer RNA-Phe(GAA)". Lineage: Eukaryota; Viridiplantae; Streptophyta; Magnoliopsida; Solanales; Solanaceae. The record is from RNAcentral.
CUUUUGUCCUUGUAAUUGACAUAGACCCCAGUUCUCUAAUAAAAUGAGGAUACUACAUUGGGAAUAGCCGGGAUAGCUCAGUUGN